RNAcentral lists this ribosomal RNA (322 nucleotides) under uncultured OCS116 cluster bacterium. RNAcentral's name for it is "SSU rRNA". It matches the Rfam family "Bacterial small subunit ribosomal RNA", at positions 29 to 367 of the family's 1533-position model. The record is from RNAcentral. Lineage: Bacteria; Pseudomonadati; Pseudomonadota; Alphaproteobacteria.
ACGAACGUUGGCGGCACGCUUAACACAUGCAAGUCGAACGAGAAACCCGAGCUUGCUCGGGUGGACAGUGGCAGACGGCUUAGUAACGCGUGGGUAUCUACCUAGAGGUUUGGAACAACUAUUGGAAACGAUAGCUAAUACCAAAUAUUCCCUAAGGGGGAAAGAUUUAUCGCCUUUAGAUGAGCCCGCGUUAGAUUAGAUAGUUGGUGGGGUAAUGGCCUACCAAGUCUACGAUCUAUAGCUGGUUUGAGAGGAUGAUCAGCAACACUGGGACUGAGACACGGCCCAGACUCCUACGGGAGGCAGCAGUGGGGAAUCUUAG